AACCAACAGGGAUUGCCUCAGUAACGGCGAGUGAAGCGGCAAAAGCUCAAAUUUUAAAGCUGGCAUCUUCGGUGUCCGCGUUGUAAUUUUGUGAGGCAUCUCCGGGUAGGGCGCCGGCCUAAGUUCCUUGGAACAGGACGUCACAGAGGGUGAGAAUCCCGUGCUUGGCUGGCUGUCCCCGUCCAUGUGAGGUGUCUUCGACGAGUCGAGUUGUUUGGGAAUGCAGCUCAAAAUGGGUGGUAAAUUUCAUCUAAAGCUAAAUAUUGGUGGGAGACCGAUAGCGCACAAGUAGAGUGAUCGAAAGAUGAAAAGCACUUUGAAAAUAGAGUUAAAAAGUACGUGAAAUUGUUGAAAGGGAAGCGCUUGAGACCAGACUUCGGUAGGGGGUGAUCAGCCGUCCUUCUGGGCGGUGCACUUGCCCCCCUCCGGGCCAGCAUCGGUUGAGGCGGCGGGAUAAAUGUCCCGGGAAUGUGGCUCCUUCACGGGAGUGUUAUAGCCCGGGUGAAUGCCGCCAGUCUCGACCGAGGACCGCACCCGCAAGGGUUAGGAUGCUUGGCAUAAUGGUCUUCAGCGA
This 574-nucleotide ribosomal RNA is filed under the name Morchella exuberans. RNAcentral's name for it is "partial 28S ribosomal RNA". It matches the Rfam family "Eukaryotic large subunit ribosomal RNA", at positions 63 to 647 of the family's 3401-position model. Lineage: Eukaryota; Fungi; Ascomycota; Pezizomycetes; Pezizales; Morchellaceae. The record is from RNAcentral.